GCCGGGGUGGCGGAACGGGUAGACGCGCCGGAUUCAAAAUCCGGUUCUCGAAAGAGAGUGCGGGUUCGAGCCCCGCCCCCGGCA
RNAcentral lists this transfer RNA (84 nucleotides) under Spiribacter curvatus. It matches the Rfam family "tRNA". Rfam says of the family: Transfer RNA (tRNA) molecules are approximately 80 nucleotides in length. Their secondary structure includes four short double-helical elements and three loops (D, anti-codon, and T loops). Lineage: Bacteria; Pseudomonadati; Pseudomonadota; Gammaproteobacteria; Chromatiales; Ectothiorhodospiraceae. The record is from Rfam by way of RNAcentral.